AGUAGAGUUGCUUGGUUAUAUGGUAACUUUAUGUUUAACUUUUUGAGGAACUGUCAAAGUGCUUUCCAAAGUGGCUGCCCCAUUUUGGCAUUUUCACAAGUAAU
This 104-nucleotide microRNA precursor is filed under the name Marmota monax (woodchuck). Lineage: Eukaryota; Metazoa; Chordata; Mammalia; Rodentia; Sciuridae. The record is from RNAcentral.